RNAcentral lists this ribosomal RNA (447 nucleotides) under uncultured bacterium. RNAcentral describes it as "SSU rRNA". It matches the Rfam family "Bacterial small subunit ribosomal RNA", at positions 26 to 518 of the family's 1533-position model. The record is from RNAcentral.
AGAACGAACGCUGGCGGCAUGCCUAACACAUGCAAGUCGAACGCGUGUAGCGAUACACGAGUGGCGGACGAGUGAGUAACGCGUGGGAACCUGCCCUGGAGUGUGGGAUAACCGAGGGAAACUUCGGCUAAUACCGCAUACGACCUGAGGGUGAAAGAUUUAUCGCUCUAGGAGGGGCCCGCGUCGGAUUAGCUAGUUGGUGGGGUAAAGGCCUACCAAGGCAGUGAUCCGUAGCUGGUCUGAGAGGAUGAUCAGCCACACUGGGACUGAGACACGGCCCAGACUCCUACGGGAGGCAGCAGUGGGGAAUAUUGGACAAUGGGGGCAACCCUGAUCCAGCAAUGCCGCGUGAGUGAUGAAGGCCUUAGGGUUGUAAAGCUCUUUCGCGCGCGACGAUGAUGACGGUAGCGCGAGAAGAAGCCCCGGCUAACUCGUGCCAGCAGCCGC